UACCUUCUGCAUUUGUUGCGGACCUGUCCUGCUCCAAUUUGCGCUGAAAGUAAUAGUCCUCAAGCUGACGAGCAGCAACCUGAAACAGAUCAAAAUUAUCCUUCACACCAUCCUUCCGAAGUAGGUUCUCGGCAAGGUGCCGAGUACACCAACGAUGAUGCAAAGCUGGAUACCCCUCUAUCUGCUCUUGCACAGCAUGAAGUAUGCCCUGGUGCCUAUCAGAUAUGACGCCAACCUCCCUGCC
This 244-nucleotide long non-coding RNA is filed under the name Setaria viridis. RNAcentral's name for it is "long non-coding RNA (SVIR_LNC006196)". The record is from RNAcentral. Lineage: Eukaryota; Viridiplantae; Streptophyta; Magnoliopsida; Poales; Poaceae.